Molecule: RNA transcript, 1713 nt
Organism: Acanthochromis polyacanthus (spiny chromis)
Lineage: Eukaryota; Metazoa; Chordata; Actinopteri; Pomacentridae
Gene name: transcription factor HES-5-like
Exons: 3
Source: RefSeq, a predicted model, not a curated record
UUCCCCUGAGAUCUAACUAUUGUCCCCCAGGCAUUAAUGACAGCAUGUUGCUGCUCCACAUGUCUCAUUGUCUCACAGAGCUCUCUGAUUGGCUCACACUGUGGGAAACCUCAACCAGACCAAGACCCACACAUUCAUAUGGAGAUGUGGGACUAUAAAUAGGAGGGAUGAAACCAGCACACAUCACAUUCUCUCUACACAGACCUCUACAGCUCACACAUCCAACCAUGGCAUCUACAAUCACUGCAGCAAUGACCAAUUCUCAGGAACAUCUGACUCUGACCCACAAGCUCAGAAAACCUCUGGUGGAGAAGCUCCGCAGAGAGCGAAUCAACAGCAGCAUUGAGCAGCUCAAGUCUCUCCUGGGUCCAGAGUUCCUCAAACAGCAGCCAGACUCCAAGAUGGAGAAAGCAGACAUCCUGGAGAUGACAGUUUGCUUCCUGAGAAGACUGCUGCAGCAGCAUCAAGCAGUCAACACAGCAGUUGUGGAUCAGGGCUACUCCAGCUGUGUCAGAGAGGUGAUGAACUUCCUGUCCAAGGAGGAGGUGAAGACACAGUCCCAGAGAAGACUGUUGAACCACUUCAGCAAGCUGCAGCCGUCCUCUGAAAACAACCUGACAGAGGCUGACUUCUCUCCUCUCAGCUCCACAGUCCAGAGCAGCAUCACCAAAGACAAGAGUCCAGUCAACAGCGCCCUCUGGAGGCCGUGGUAGACACCUGCACACUGGACUUACUACCAGACAGCAUCUAAUGACCACAUUGGUCAAAGAUUACUGGACUGAAUUCUAUGAAUUUCAUGAACUUGUUCUUCUCUAUGUACAGAAGGUUGAUUUGUUUUUAUUCUUUGUGUAAAACAACAUUUCCUGAGGAAACGACAGCAACAAUAUCUUUCAAGAUAAGAAAGAAAACAUGUUGUCAUGCAUGUUGCAUGAACCUAAUCUGAUUGCAUUUGCAAUUACUAGCUCCUGUCAUAUUUCAUUUGUUGGUAAUUGUAUGGUGACUUUUGCCAUCUUUUAAUAGUUAUUGAUCGCUGUGAUAAAACUAUUUCUUUCUGCUGGAAGGACAAAUUGUCAAAAUGAACAAAAAGCUGAUCUAUUGUAAGAUCCACGUUUAUCCUUUAAUUCUAAAAGGUUUGCUUCAUGUCAAAAUGUUCCUACAUUUGUGCUUUGCUGUGCAUUAUACAGUUGUGAUAUUUCUUAACUCUUGUUAAAUAUUGAUCAUAGUGAUCUAAACACAUCAUUGUCUUUUUAAUCAGUUGUUGAAACUUUUCCUGUUGUAUGGGAUGAGAAAAUGAUCUGUUUUAAGAUUAGUAAUUUUAUCCAGUUCCUGCAAAAGAUUAGUUUAAUGUUAAACUGUCACAGUUAUGCAGUGACAAUGGAUUUUUUUGACAUUUUAAAAAUCAAUUCAAAUUCUUUUCUAUUGAGAAUGACGACAUGUUUUAGGGUCAGUCUUAAGUUUACUUCUGUUUCUCAAUAUGAGUUUUUUUUCUCCAUUUGGGAAACAAAUGUCAAAGGACAGUGAGUUCUGUCCCCAAAUACUGUAAGUUUUGUGUCUUUUAUAAAGACAGUUGUUCCUUUACUCUGUAUGAGUACACUGUGUCUUGUAGAAAUCUACAAGUUCUGGUUGUGAUGUAUCAUCACCUGUUGUUGGAGCUUCAUCCUUCAAGUGGCUCAUUGAGUCUUGUUCAAUAAACAAACAUUGUCAGCUGAAAAA